RNAcentral lists this ribosomal RNA (420 nucleotides) under uncultured bacterium. RNAcentral's name for it is "bacterial SSU rRNA". It matches the Rfam family "Bacterial small subunit ribosomal RNA", at positions 355 to 773 of the family's 1533-position model. The record is from RNAcentral.
UAAGGAAUAUUGGUCAAUGGACGCAAGUCUGAACCAGCCAUGCCGCGUGAAGGAUGAAGGUCCUCUGGAUUGUAAACUUCUUUUAUCUGGGACGAAAACGGGAUUUUUAUCUCAAUUGACGGUACCAGAGGAAUAAGCACCGGCUAACUCCGUGCCAGCAGCCGCGGUAAUACGGAGGGUGCGAGCGUUAUCCGGAUUUACUGGGUUUAAAGGGUGCGUAGGUGGGCUUAUAAGUCAGUGGUGAAAUCUCCGAGCCUAACUUGGAAACUGCCGUUGAUACUAUAGGUCUUGAAUUAUCUGGAGGUAAGCGGAAUAUGUCAUGUAGCGGAGAAAUGCUUAGAUAUGACAUAGAACACCAAUUGCGAAGGCAGCUUACUACACAAUCAUUGACACUGAGGCACGAAAGCGUGGGUAGCGAAC